This 1654-nucleotide long non-coding RNA is filed under the name Homo sapiens (human). RNAcentral's name for it is "HSALNT0174144". The record is from RNAcentral. Lineage: Eukaryota; Metazoa; Chordata; Mammalia; Primates; Hominidae.
GGGAGUUGGAAAAAGCACACUUUUUUCCUCCACAUUUAAAAAUGACUAGAAGGUGAGAGAGAAAGAGAGAAAGCUCACCUGCAGCCCGUGAAGUCACGCUUUUGCAUUCCGUUUGUAGGACAAGUUGUCAGUGUGCGAUGAUUUCCAUAGGCUUUGAAAUGGGGUAGCAGUUUAAACAUAUCAAAUGCUUAAUGAAGUGAGGCCCCAUCUCAUCGGUAUUCAGUGUGGCACUAACAUUACAUACGCUAAUCCUGAAACAAUAAGCUAUAAGGAGAGCCUCGCUUUCUGGGUUUGAAAUGAAUGGAGCAGUCUGAAUUCUUCCAGUUUUAUCUCCUGCUUUAACCUGGAAUGAUGCCAGCAUGUUGGGUUUUACCCUGGAGAAUUCAUAUCAUGUGAAAAACUUAAAUCAGGUCUGUCUGCUGGUACACGCAGUCCUAAUCCGUUAAAUAUUUCUAGCUAACAAUGCACGUGGGGCUCUUCAGCUCUGCAUACAGUCAUGUUCUGCUAAGUCCAUGCAAAUAUAACCACUUCUGCCUGCUUUUUUGAGGGAGGGAUCAGUAAUGCCUACAUGGUUUUACCCAAAUCCCUCAUGCGACAUACAAGGCUCUUGGCAUAUCUUAACCCUGGUGGUAGCUCCCUAUCCAUUCUCUAGGACCUGGCUCUCUUACUGUGAGCUUGGGAAGGUUUCAAAUGAGAGAUUGCUUCACUUUCAUUGGUCAUUUAAAAGGAACCACAACUCUUGACUUUAUCAAGUUAUAGAAACUUGAGCCCAGAGUCCCGGCUGUAGAAUGUCUAAAGAGAAUGCCACUGAACCCCAUCAUUCCCUACGCCCUUCUGCAUUCAGAAAAAUUAAAAACAUUAGGACUUGUGUGAACCAUGUAUGGGGCAUUUUUCUUCAGAGUCAAGCACUGCUGUCUGAAAAAGAACACUUCUUUCCAGAAAACUCUGUUUUUUCAGAACGACCUCUUUCAUUCUGCUGCCUCAUUCCCAGAGGAGUGAUUUUGUAUUUCCCCUCAUCCAAACACGGAGAUGACUUUUUCAGGAUUGUAAAAAGGAAUGUGUGAUCAAUCUUUUAUUUAAUACAUAUUUAUGAGGUGCCUCUGUGUGUGAAGUUAAGUGCUGGGUAAAAGGGCAGUGUAGCAUCACAGUCGCAAGCAUGGAUUCGAGAGUCCAACUGCCCGGGUUGAUAACUGUGUGAGGUUGUGCUGGGUACACAGUCUUUCUGUGCUGUGGUUUCCCCUUCAGGAAAAUGGGGCUGUUGACCAUACUGACCUCAUAACGAAGUCCUUGGGGUCUGACACCUAGCAGGUACUAAGCAAGUGUUAGCUGCCACUGCUGCCAUUUCUGCUCCUGCUGCUCUGCUGUUGAUCUCAUUACUGUUACCUUCAUCUUUACUAUUAUUAGGUGCUGGGAACAAAGUUGUCCACCAAAACAAAGCGAAACUAUACCCACCAUGGUUCCUGUCCUUAUGGAGCACCAAGUUUCCUGAGGGAGGCAUACACUGAAUAAAAGACUAUAGACCAGGUAUAGUGGCUCAUGCUUGUAAUCCCAACGCUUUUGGAAGCUAAGCAGGAGGAUGGCUUGAGGCCAGCUGUUCAAGACCAGCCUGGGCAACAGAGCAAGUCCCCAUGUCUUAAAAAAAAAAAAAAAGAAA